GGCUCAGAUUGAACGCUGGCGGCGUGCUUAACACAUGCAAGUCGAUCGGUAACAGGUGUAGCAAUACAUGCUGACGAGAGGCGGACGGGUGAGGAAUAUUUGGGAAUCUGCCCAUCAGCGGGGGACAACCCGGGGAAACUCGGGCUAAUACCGCAUACGCUCUACGGAGGAAAGCCGGGGACCGCAAGGCCUGGCACUGAUGGAUGAGCCCAAAUCGGAUUAGCUAGUUGGCGGGGUAACGGCCCACCAAGGCGACGAUCCGUAGCUGGUCUGAGAGGACGAUCAGCCACACCGGAACUGAGACACGGUCCGGACUCCUACGGGAGGCAGCAGUGGGGAAUAUUGGACAAUGGGGGAAACCCUGAUCCAGCGACGCCGCGUGGGUGAAGAAGGCCUGCGGGUUGUAAAGCCCUUUCGGUAGGGAAGAAAUCUCGUGCCCUAACACGGCACGGGUUUGACUUAACCUACAUAAGAAGCACCGGCUAACUCUGUGCCAGCAGCCGCGGUAAUACAGAGGGUGCGAGCGUUAAUCGGAAUUACUGGGCGUAAAGCGCACGUAGUCGGCUUGCCAAGUCGGGUGUGAAAUCCCCGGGCUCAACCUGGGAACUGCAUCCGAAACUGGCUUGCUAGAGUAUGGGAGAGGGAAGCGGAAUUUCUGGUGUAGCAGUGAAAUGCGUAGAUAUCAGAAGGAACAUCAGUGGCGAAGGCGGCUUCCUGGACCAAUACUGACGAUCAGGUGCGAAAGCGUGGGGAGCAAACAGGAUUAGAUACCCUGGUAGUCCACGCCCUAAACGAUGACAACUGGAUGUCGGGAGGGUUUGCCUUCCGGUGUCGUAGCUAACGCGUUAAGUUGUCCGCCUG
Molecule: ribosomal RNA, 861 nt
Filed under: uncultured bacterium
Lineage: Bacteria
Description: bacterial SSU rRNA
Rfam family: Bacterial small subunit ribosomal RNA
Source: RNAcentral